CUGAGAGCCCGAUAUAGGUAGUUCUAACCAGCUGCCUACUUCGUGUGCCUUCUUCUACCCUUUGUUUAUGAGUACCUUUUAUUUUUCUUUCCUCGGUGGGGGUAACUUGCCGAUGGAAUGCUUCUUAAACUCUUGCCUUAGCAUUUUAAUAUCUGAUAACCUAAUUAAUUAUUA
This 174-nucleotide unclassified non-coding RNA is filed under the name uncultured Ascomycota. RNAcentral's name for it is "sequence contains ITS1". The record is from RNAcentral. Lineage: Eukaryota; Fungi; Ascomycota.